GCGUGGACUAGUUUCUGGCAUGCUGCGGACCAGUGCCGAUCCACAGACUGAAGGUUGAGGAGCCCUGCUGUAAAGGAUCUUAAGAAACAGAUGUGUGCAAAUGUUUUAAUGAGGCUGGCUUUUUACUCAGUGGUGUUUUAAUGUUUAGGAAUAAAAAGUAGAGCUCAUUCAGCUUUUUGAAUGGUUCUUUAGAUCUUGAUUACAUGUUGAAUUGUUUUUAUAUAUAAUGAUAUCCUUGACAGUUAUCACCUGCAGAAUUCUUAUCCUUCUAUGGAUUAUUAAAUUUCUACCUAUACACAUUAGCCUUUGUGUACUCACCAUCAAAAAAUGCCCUAUACGAAUCUCAGCUGAAAGACAACCCUGCCUUUUCCAUGUUGAAUGAUUCAGAUGACGAUGUUAUCUACGGGAGUGACUAUGAAGAAAUGCCACUUCAGAACGGUCAGGCUAUCAGAGCCAAAUUCAAAGAGGAAUCGGACAGUGAUUAAAUUUGCACAGGAGCAGCCAAGAAUAUGGAACAAGAGUAAUUUUAUCUUUCCUAUAGUCAAGUGAACCAUGCUUUUGGUGGAAGUAUGUCCUUUAUUCCAGUCAUUUUCUGUUUACAAAACUAAAAUGGAUGGGAGUGAGAAAUGAAUGUUUAGUACCAUUUAAAGAAACUUGUGGUUUACCCACCCCGUCUCCUAAAACUCAAUUGCAACAAGAUGCCUCCACACAGAAUGCUGUGGAAUCAGAUUAUUAAAAUCAAUAAGUUUUUGGGCAGUCUUAGCUUAUUAUGGAUUAAUAACUGAAUAGUGGAUUUCCUAAUUACUUCAUUACUAAUAUAAGAGAAUAUUUGCAGCUCAGGGUUGAACUGUGGAAUCUCUGGUGCUCUCUGAGCUUGGUGGUUUCCUUGUAAACAUUUCAUUAUCCAAUUAGAUAACAUGUUCAGUGCUAAAAGGGAGUGGGAUUUGUUCUGUUUAUUUACGGUGGCUUUCCCUGUCAGUGUUGGUGGGAGUGUUGUUUUCUUCUUGAUUGUUCCUUGAUUAGGCUGUGGUUUACUGUUUUGAUU
RNAcentral lists this long non-coding RNA (1045 nucleotides) under Notechis scutatus (mainland tiger snake). Its description in RNAcentral is "lncRNA (ENSNSUG00000015839.1)". The record is from RNAcentral. Lineage: Eukaryota; Metazoa; Chordata; Lepidosauria; Squamata; Elapidae.